CUCGAAGUGAUGCGUGGUGGGUGCCCAUGGGCCGCAGAUUUGUCUAUGCUGCACAGCUACGUUUACGCAUAUUUUGUUGGUUGCCUUGAAAUCGCGUGUUUACUACCUACAUAGUGUAUCAGCAGGUUGCUUCGCACUGAAUAGCUAUCUAACAAGUUUCUAGACAUGCUGCACUCAGACGAUUCUAAAAUAUUAACUAAUGUCUAGGUGAAUAACAUGACUGUAUUACCGAAUAGCAUGACCAUAACCGUUGUUUGCUUACCUUCAAAAUGCUUU
Molecule: non-coding RNA, 276 nt
Organism: Pelobates cultripes (western spadefoot toad)
Lineage: Eukaryota; Metazoa; Chordata; Amphibia; Anura; Pelobatidae
Source: the annotation of a GenBank genome assembly